UUAUAAUAAAUCAAUUAAACUGAUCUCCUAGUAAAAAAGCUAGAAUAAUAACAUAAGACCAGAAGACCCUGUGAAGCUUAAAUUAAACUAUUAAACCACAUAAUAACUAUUUUCGGUUGGGGCGACCUUGGAAAAAAAAAGAACUUCCAAGACCCAGUAUAACUGACAAUUGAACCAAGUUACUCCAGGGAUAACAGCGCAAUCUUCUUCAAGAGCCCAUAUCAAAAAGAAGGUUUACGACCUCGAUGUUGGAUCAGGACAUCCUAAUGGUGCAGCCGCUAUUAAGGGUUCGUUUGUUCAACGAUUAACAGUCCCACGUGAUCUGA
This 326-nucleotide ribosomal RNA is filed under the name Pseudelaphe flavirufa. Its description in RNAcentral is "partial 16S ribosomal RNA". It matches the Rfam family "Bacterial large subunit ribosomal RNA", at positions 2048 to 2608 of the family's 2925-position model. Lineage: Eukaryota; Metazoa; Chordata; Lepidosauria; Squamata; Colubridae. The record is from RNAcentral.